UGGGAGGAGUUUGAUCCUGGCUCAGACUUGAUACUGCUGGCGGCAGGCCUAACACACGCAAGUCGAGCGGCAGCACAAGUAAGUUUACUUAUGAGGUGGCGAGCGGCGGACGGGUGAGUAAUGCCUAGGGAUCUGCCCAGUCGAGGGGGAUAACAGUUGGAAACGACUGCUAAUACCGCAUACGCCCUACGGGGGAAAGAGGGGGACCUUCGGGCCUCUCGCGAUUGGAUGAACCUAGGUGGGAUUAGCUAGUUGGUGAGGUAAUGGCUCACCAAGGCGACGAUCCCUAGCUGUUCUGAGAGGAUGAUCAGCCACACUGGGACUGAGACACGGCCCAGACUCCUACGGGAGGCAGCAGUGGGGAAUAUUGCACAAUGGGGGAAACCCUGAUGCAGCCAUGCCGCGUGUGUGAAGAAGGCCUUCGGGUUGUAAAGCACUUUCAGUAGGGAGGAAAGGGUGAGUCUUAAUACGGCUCAUCUGUGACGUUACCUACAGAAGAAGGACCGGCUAACUCCGUGCCAGCAGCCGCGGUA
This 533-nucleotide ribosomal RNA is filed under the name Shewanella putrefaciens. RNAcentral's name for it is "bacterial SSU rRNA". It matches the Rfam family "Bacterial small subunit ribosomal RNA", at positions 1 to 522 of the family's 1533-position model. The record is from RNAcentral. Lineage: Bacteria; Pseudomonadati; Pseudomonadota; Gammaproteobacteria; Alteromonadales; Shewanellaceae.